RNAcentral lists this ribosomal RNA (587 nucleotides) under Geastrum pectinatum. Its description in RNAcentral is "eukaryotic LSU rRNA". The stretch from base 198 to 352 matches the Rfam family "5.8S ribosomal RNA". The record is from RNAcentral. Lineage: Eukaryota; Fungi; Basidiomycota; Agaricomycetes; Geastrales; Geastraceae.
GUAACAAGGUUUCCGUAGGUGAACCUGCGGAAGGAUCAUUACUGUAAGGAAAUUGGGGGGUCUUGAGACUGCGCCGUUUCAUGGCGUGUGCUCGGCUCCUUACUCUCUUAACACACCCCGGGGGGUGCAAGUCCCCCCUUUUACAAACACCGAGUUAUACGCAUGUCUUUUAUGAUACUCUACGGAGUAAACAUAACAACUUUCAACAACGGAUCUCUUGGCUUUCGCAUCGAUGAAGAACGCAGCGAACGUGCGAAACGUAAUGUGAAUUGCAGAAUUCAGUGAAUCAUCGAAUCUUUGAACGCAUCUUGCGCUCCUUGGUAUUCCGAGGAGCAUGCCUGUUUGAGUGUCGUGAAAUACUCUCAAUUUCAAUCUUUUUUGGUUUGAAAUUGGACUUGGAUGUUGUUGUGGCUUGGCUCACGACUCGUCCUAAAUGCAUUAGCGGAUCUGCUUGAUCACACACAAUGUGAUAAGAUGUUGAGCAUUGUUACAAUCAAGUCAUGACUGCUUCUAACCGUCCCUUGGGACAACACGUCUUAUGUCGUUUGACCUCAAAUUCAGGUAGGACUACCCGCUGAACUUAAGCA